UUCCUUGUAGCUUAGUGGUAGAGUAUUGGUGUGUAAAACCAGAGGCCCGGGUUCGAUUCCCGACUAGGGAA
RNAcentral lists this transfer RNA (71 nucleotides) under Agrilus planipennis (emerald ash borer). It matches the Rfam family "tRNA". From Rfam's summary of the family: Transfer RNA (tRNA) molecules are approximately 80 nucleotides in length. Their secondary structure includes four short double-helical elements and three loops (D, anti-codon, and T loops). Lineage: Eukaryota; Metazoa; Arthropoda; Insecta; Coleoptera; Buprestidae. The record is from Rfam by way of RNAcentral.